AAUUCGUAGUCAUAUGCUUGUCUCAAAGAUUAAGCCAUGCAUGUCUAAGUAUAAGCAACUAUACUGUGAAACUGCGAAUGGCUCAUUAAAUCAGUUAUCGUUUAUUUGAUAGUACCUUACUACAUGGAUAACCGUGGUAAUUCUAGAGCUAAUACAUGCUAAAAACCUCGACUUCGGAAGGGGUGUAUUUAUUAGAUAAAAAACCAAUGCCCUUCGGGGCUCCCUGGUGAUUCAUAAUAACUUAACGAAUCGCAUGGCCUUGUGCCGGCGAUGGUUCAUUCAAAUUUCUGCCCUAUCAACUUUCGAUGGUAGGAUAGUGGCCUACCAUGGUUUCAACGGGUAACGGGGAAUUAGGGUUCUAUUCCGGAGAAGGAGCCUGAGAAACGGCUACUACAUCCAAGGAAGGCAGCAGGCGCGCAAAUUACCCAAUCCCGACACGGGGAGGUAGUGACAAUAAAUACUGAUACAGGGCUCUUUUGAGUCUUGUAAUUGGAAUGAGUACAAUUUAAAUACCUUAACGAGGAACAAUUGGAGGGCAAGUCUGGUGCCAGCAGCCGCGGUAAUUCCAGCUCCAAUAGCGUAUAUUAAAGUUGUUGCAGUUAAAAAGCUCGUAGUUGAACCUUGGGCCUGGUUGGCCGGUCCGCCUCACCGCGUGCACUGGUCCGACCGGGUCUUUCCUUCUGGGGAGCCGCAUGCCCUUCACUGGGUGUGUCGGGGAACCAGGACUUUUACUUUGAAAAAAUUAGAGUGUUCAAAGCAGGCCUAUGCUCGAAUACAUUAGCAUGGAAUAAUAGAAUAGGACGUGUGGUUCUAUUUUGUUGGUUUCUAGGACCGCCGUAAUGAUUAAUAGGGAUAGUCGGGGGCAUCAGUAUUCAAUUGUCAGAGGUGAAAUUCUUGGAUUUAUUGAAGACUAACUACUGCGAAAGCAUUUGCCAAGGAUGUUUUCAUUAAUCAGUGAACGAAAGUUAGGGGAUCGAAGACGAUCAGAUACCGUCGUAGUCUUAACCAUAAACUAUGCCGACUAGGGAUCGGGCGAUGUUAUCUUUUUGACUCGCUCGGCACCUCACGAGAAAUCAAAGUCU
Molecule: ribosomal RNA, 1082 nt
Filed under: Sclerotinia sclerotiorum
Lineage: Eukaryota; Fungi; Ascomycota; Leotiomycetes; Helotiales; Sclerotiniaceae
Description: SSU rRNA
Rfam family: Eukaryotic small subunit ribosomal RNA
Source: RNAcentral